Non-coding RNA from Equus caballus (horse), 9664 nucleotides. NCBI's taxonomy places the organism in Eukaryota, Metazoa, Chordata, Mammalia, Perissodactyla, Equidae. The record is from RefSeq and is a predicted model, not a curated record.
GGCAUUAUGGGAAAUUCAGCGAUGAAUAAGAUGCAAAGACCAGGCUAGGGGGAGGGGAGGAGGUGACAAACAUUUGUUGAGGACCUGCUCUGUGCCAGCACGAUGCCAGAUACUUAGGUUAUUCCCCUGAAUUCACACCCCACAGGGUAGGUUCUGUUAUAUAAUCCCCACUUUGCCGCGGACACAGCUGAGAUUAGGGAACGCGCCCGACGUUACUCCACUACUAUGUGGUGGAGAUAAUGUUUAAAACCUGCAUUGUUUCCCUAACCCAUCCCCGCAUACAGCAUACGGCACAGCAAGAGAGACCCAUGUAAUCCAGAGACAAGUGGGAUCCAGAACCCAGUGCUAAGCAUUCUGAAGGCAGGAUCAAGCCAGACACCGUGUUUGUCAACUGUCAUCACACACGCCCAGGAUGGCUGAAUUUCUCCUGUCUUCUUCAGCCCCAGACUUGCUGGGCUGAACUACAGAUCCGUCUGUCAUUUUAGUUAUAUGAUGUCUCCCUGUUCCCUGAACCAGGCACUAGGGGCCUGGGUGGUGCCAAGAAUGCUGGUAAACACUUACAAAGAAUGCAUUAUACAUGAGAGUUUCAUCGAAAUGCUUUAUAUGUGCUAACACGGUUAACACAAUCUGAUGAAGUUGGUACUGUUAUUAUCACCAUUUUAGUGAUAAAGAAACUGAGGCACAGAGAGGGGGAGGAACUUGCCCAAGACUGCACAGCUAGAACUGGCCAAGCUGGGAUUUGAGUCCGGAGAGGCUGGGUUUGGAGUUUGGGCUCUUGGUGACUUUAGGGGACUGCCUCUUAAUGGUUUAAAUGCAAAUACUCUAUGGGUGGGGCACUGUGCUGGACGCUGGAGACACAAUGGCCAACAAUUAUGCAUGGGGCCCACCUAAAGUAGCCCAAGGCCUACAGGGGGAUUCAGCUAUCAACUAGCAAUUUCACCAUAGAGCAGUCAGUGCCCUGGAAGCUGUGGGGUACAGGGUUAGGAGUGGGCUCUGAUUCUGUCUGGGCUAGAAUCUCUGUUCCUCAACUUCCCUGCUGUGUGAUCUUGGGCAUGUUAACGAACAUCUCUGAACUUGAAAGCAUCACUGUGAGGAUUAAAUGAGAUAAUAUGGAGAGAUGGUUACCCUAGUGGGACAUGUUGCCUAGGUUUGAUUCCUGGUCCCAUCACUUCCUGGCUGUGUGAGCUUGGGCAGGUUACUUCUCUGUGCCCCAGUUUCUCAUCUAUGGAGUGGGGAUAAUAUUAUCUACUUCACAGAGUUGUCAUCCGAUUAGAAUGGUUUAAUACAUGCAAAGUGCAUUAUCCGUGAGCACUCAUUAUCUAAUAACAGCAUUCUUAUUUGAGUCUGUCCCCCUGGAUAUGGCCAAGUGUUACAGCACUGAAUUCACUGUGCUUCCUCAUGCUUCCAUCCCUUUGCACAUACUGUUCCCUAUACCUGGAAAGCUCUUCCCUACCUUCUGUGUCAGAUGGACAACAGCUCAUUCUUCAAGGUCCAACUCAAUGUCCCCUUUGUAGUCUUUUAUAGCUCCAGCAGGGGAAGUUAAUCAUCUUUGCACACACCCCGGCUUUCCAACACCCACCCUUGUGCCUGGCAACGACAUAGGCUAGAUUCUGAGGAGGCUCAGAUGUUUUUUUCCUACUUCCCCACCGAGCUGCAUUGCCUGGGCUCACGGAGGACAGUGAGUGAACUCUGAAACUUCGUAAUGAACUUAAAAAGUGGAUGUCAUAUGAGGGAGUUCUCGGAAACAGUCCCCCAGAAUAGUACCUGUCUAUUCCUGAAUAUGUGACUUAAUCCAUAUUUAGUGAGACUAUUAGUCUGCUGUCUACUCUAGCUAUUGGCUGACGCUCUGGUGCGUGUUGUUUUCUGAUACAAAUCGCUUGUAUUUCGUUGUGUGCUCCGGAGACCCUGAAGAAAGUAUAAUGCAAAUAUUUAGCGAGAACUAAGAAAUAGUCUUACAGUCAAUGCUACAUUCUUUCUUGCAUCCAUUCAUUUACAAGAAUUUGUUACACCUUUUAUUUAUUACCUUUUAUAACAAUUGUGUAUCUGGGUGGCAGGCUUAUAGCUACACUCAGAUGUGCAAAGAAAAAUGUCAUUUCUUUCUGUUCGAGAAUUUCAUAAGCCUCCUCGCCGCGUCGACGGUGGAGAAACCUCGACUUGUCAGUUGAUGACAUCUCGGGCUCUGUGGUUUGAAUGGCCUCCUUUCAGUGGGGGAGUCAGUCCAUCCCAGGUCUGACUCCCCAGCAGAGUUAGGUGACGUUGUCUCUUUGGGAUGACUUGAUCCCUUUAGGUAAAUGUUCAGUCUUUCAAAUUUCUACCUUCCCCCCUUCUCCUCCCCAAGCUGCUGUCUGGGUAUAUAGGAGCCAACUGUGUCUUUGGAGCGUUGGGGGUGGCAAGGCACGGGGAGAGAGAGUGAAGGUCUCCUGACCUCAUGAUGCUCCUUGCCUGGUCUCCACUGGGUGCUGUGGGUCUGAACUCCGGCCGUGUCAGGCUGCCCACUGUUGAGGAGUGGGCAGCCUGAUCCUGUCCUGGGUAUCUGGCUGCCGAGUGACCGUGGAGCACGACUCCAGCCUGUCUGUGCCCCAAGCACAGGCAAGACCCCCAGGAGCAUGGCCUGCUGCCCUUGCUGACCAAGCCCCGCCUUGUUCUCGCUGGUGCUGCCCAUGCCCCUGAGGUCUGCCUGGGCAAGUUUCCAGCCUGGGCAGACGGAAUGUGAAUGGCCCCCUGGCUGAAGGGUCACCUGGGCCUGGUGGCAGCCAGCUUCUUCCUCAGGAGCCCCAGGCUGAGUCUCCAAUAAGCUCUCAACCCCCCUCAGGUAGCUGUGGAAGCCUCUGGUUCCUUUCCCCAUCACAGGAGGAUUGAGCUGGCUCCAGAGGGCAAAUCAGACCAAGACUGACACAGAGUGAGGGCAGGGCGUCUGCAAGGGGUCUCUUCCCAGAAUUGCAAACGAGAAUGGGGCAGAGGCCCCCCUCCCUCCUCAUCAGCUUUCUCCUCAACCCAACAAGGUCCCCUGAGCCAGCACUUCAGCUCAGAGGCGGUGUCUGACUCCAGCUUCUCACGGGGCCCUCCCUCUGCGUUUCUGUCUUCCUCCCACCAUCCCUUGCGGCGGAGAAAGCCAACUUCAUUCUUCGUCCUCUCUGGCAGGGACUUCCCUACAUCAUGUCUUCCUUCCAUGGACCUUCAGCCUUGUGGCUCAACCUUAAAAACGGAAGAGAUACCCACUCUCCCUUAAAAGAAACCCUACCUCGCACUCCCCAUAUGUCAAUAACAUCAAAAAUAACUUUUCUAAGUCUUUUUCUGGAUACUAUGAUCCUAUAAAAGACUCAGAAACUCCUGCUCUGAAUAUUAAAAGUUGGAUAUCGGUCCCCUGUCGCUCUCCUGUUCUUGCUUUUCGACUCUGGACUGGGGAAGUCUUCCUCCUCCCCAGGACAAGCACAUGCUGGGCAAGGCACAGGGACGCAAAGGAGAGGACGUUCCGCGUUACUAUGUCUCCAAAACUGUGAUCCUGGUUUGAGCAGCCAGUGUUUACCGAGCACUUACCAUGGGCUGAGCAUUGGGUCUAUGUCAUCUCAUUUAAUCCUCUUAACAGUCUGUGAGGGGGGUGUAUCAUUUCCCCAUUUUACAGAUGAGCAAACUGAGAAGUCCUUAGCCCAGAGUCAAACAGCACGAGCAUGAGAUAGCCCAAAACAGAGCACAGGCUUGUCUGACUCAUAACCCCUGUCCUGAAGGGGAGUGUAAGACCUACUUGCCAGAAAUUUGCAGGACAAGAGACACUCACGAAACCAUGCAAGGCAGUGUAUGAGCCAUUCCAAACCAUGUAUGAAGGAAAGAAACUUAAUGCUCCUUGUAGGUCUGCCCCCUGCUGGGGACUUCCAGAUACCCUGUCCUCUCAUCUUCUCAAAAGUCCUGGCUCCGUGUUUAAAGAUGGGCAGGCAGCUGGACUCAAGGAUGCUACCCAAACGGUCAUGAAGUGGCAGAACUGGGGUUUGCACUCAGUUCCAUAUGAUUUCAAGGCCUAGCGUCUUCCGCUAUUCUAUGCUUGACCUGUUGGUUAGGGGGAGAGGGAUCAGGCUUACUUUCCUGGCCUAGAAGAGCUAACAAUGUAGUCAGAGAAAUGCAGCUUAUGCACAGGUAACUACAACGUGAGGUGGAAAGUGGUAAAUGUCAGGAGGGAGUAAGGGACAGGCAGUGGGAUGGUCCAAGGGGUGGACCCCAGCCCCCCGCACAGAGCAGCGAGCUGCAAAUGGCUGUUGAACAAGAGGGCGGGGGCCAGGCACAGCAUCCCAGGGAGCAUACUUUGAGCUGGAUAUUGACCGAUGACCAGCAUUUCAAAGGCUCGAUAGAGAGGCCCGUCUGGGAGUGACACAGGGGGGCGAAGGCUCAGACGCAGGAAAGCAUGGGGCAAGUCGUCCUGUGUGGAUGGAGUUUGGGGACAUGAAGAGGCCAGGGGAAGAUUAGGCUGGGGCCAGAUUGCAAAGGCUUUCAGUGCAGAGCCAAGGAACUUGAUUUGGGGGUCACUUGAGGAGGCCGCCAUUGGCAGAUUUUUUUUUUUUUAAUUGGGUAAGACUGGAGCCAGGCUUUGAGAAGAUGAAUGCGGCAGAGUGAGCAGGAUGAAGUUGAGACUAAUAGCACAGCCGAGAAAAAUAGUGAGGAUGGAGGGGAGUGGUGGUAAGGCAACUGGAAAAUAUGAAACAGACAAUAGGCGCUUUAGGCAACCUGGUGGGUCCAGGCUGCUCCUGGCUGGCUUACCUGUUGCUGUGACCAGUGUUAUCUCUCGGGCCCAGGAGGAAACACCCUGAGCACUACAGCCCCCAGUGUGUGUCCCAGGAGCUGGCCUUAAGGCCAGGACAGGAUGGUCUUCUGCACCUGGUCCAGGUAAGCAGUUUCUGGAAGUGGUGGGCAAGGCCAGGCUGUGUCACUUAUUCACAGAACAUACCUACCUCUUCCAUUCCAUGAGCCAGAGAUCAAGGGAUGAGGAAGGACACAGGGAGGGAGAGACAGAUACCUUUGUCGAGCACUCACUCUGAUCCUCGAUAACCCAAUAAGCACAGGUGCUAUUUGCAGAUUAAAAAUUUGAGGCUCAGAGAUGUUGAGCAAUUUUCUCAAGGUCACAAAGCUAGCAAGGGGCAGAGUCAGAAUUUGCACUCAAGUCUUUCUGAUCAUGUGCGCUCUGUACACUUUCCUCUCCAAAGCGCACUUCCCACCUCCCGACCCCCAACCUUUCACCUCCUGCGUCUCCUGAUCGGAAGCUGUCUGCCAUGUACGAGCAACCUAAAAUUGUCUCCUACUAGAAGCUUCCCACAAAAAUACAUCAGCCUGGUCCUGCAGACCCUCCCCAGGAACGCUAACUCUGAAUUUGGUUGGAAGUAGGGUCCUAAUAUUUUUUUCUUAACUUGUUUUCUUACCUUUUUCUUGCUUUCUCCUUACCUUGUUUUUUUAAAGGAAAGAGGGAGAAAAUGUAUCGGGGCUGGGAAAAAGCAGUGGCGGGAAUGCAACUUGAUAACUGAUGAUUUUCUGAGUGCUUCAGCCUGAAGGAAGCCAACAGCUGCAACAUAUUGGUUACAUGGAAAUCAUUAAGUCAUUCUGGGAAGGAAUGACAAAUGUGUGAGCCUGUGUAUAUAUGGCAGACAUGUGUUUAUGUAUGGAGCGGGGCACCCACAGAGGGGCCUGCCUCAGUCUUGCCUCCGGGCCACGGGACGGAAAAAGACCUGCAAUUAAAGCCCCAAUGCAGGCGAUGAUUCUGGAAAUCAAAUUCUUGUUUAGGGUAAAGUUUGAACUUAAAUUUAGGGAGAAAUCAUCCCUUCUUUGUCAUCUAACAUGAUAGGGACGCCCUUUAGCAAGAUCCAGCAUGGUGGGGUGGACACAGGCUGGACAGGGUGUCAGGAGUCCUCGGUUCUCAUUUCUCUCCGUCACUAACUAGGGUGUGACCCUGAGAAAGUUUCUUCUCCCUUUUGGGCUUCAGUUUCUCAAACGUAAAAUGAGGGGGUUUGACAAGAUGGUCUCUGACGUCACUUCCUGUUCUCACAUGCUGUCAACGUGCAAUACAUUUUUAUAGCAUAAAUUCUGUGAGACUGAGCUUCUAUUUCUUAGAAUAGAGCUACCUGUUCCCCCACCCCCACCCAAAAAAUGUUUGCUCUAGUAAAACUAGAUUUUUAUAUAAAUCUCAUUUGCUUAGCCUCAUAUAACUAUUAGCAUUCACAAUUAGUUAUGCCCCAGGAUGUAAGACAAUUAAAGCAAGAUAAUUAGUCACUUCCAGCAAAGGUGCCCACAUCCCAGGCUUGGGUGCAUGGAAGGGCUGAAGCAUGUCAUGGCUCAUGGGGCAAAGAACUAGCUUCUCCAGGCUUGGCCUCUGAACCAGUAACACACGGACCUGGAGGCACAUGAACCCAUAUGAGGUCUGUUGUCCCUGGACCAUGGAGAAAUGUGGCUGUCAGUCAUACAUUGUGUGUGUGUUGGGGUAGGGACUCAGGGAGGAGAGGGCAGGAGCCAGUUGUUGGUCAGACCCAAUUUGAUCCUCUCGAUGACCCAAAAGGUAGGUACAAUUUUCAUCUCUGUCUUAAAGGAAGUGGCAGAAUCUGGACCCAAACUAGUUCUCUUACCUUCCAGUAAGUCUGUUCUUAGCCACAACAUGCUGAUGUAGGGUCUCCCCACCUCGGCACUAUUGAUAUUUUAGACUGGGUAACUUUGUUGUAGGGGUGUGAUGGCUGAAUGUCUGUGUCUCCCCAAAAUUCCCAUUGAAGCCCCAACCUCCAAUGUGUUGGUAUUUGAAAGUGGGGACUUUGUGAGAUAAUCAGGUUUAGAUGAGGACAAGGGGCUAGGACCCCCGUGAUGGGAUUAGUGCCCUUAGAAGAAAAGGAAGAGAGAGAGAUUUCUCUCCAUCUCCACACUCACACCCCUAGGAAAGGCCGCAUGCGCACACAGCAAGAAGGUAGCUGUCUACAAACUAAGAAGAAGGCACUCCCGAGGAAUCGGAUCCGCCAGCACCUUAUCUUGGACUUCCCAGACUCCACAACUGCAAGAAACAAAUGUCUGUUGCUUAAGCCACCAGGUCUAUGGCAUUUGGUUACAGCAGCCCAAGCUGGCCAAGAUGGAGGACUGUCCCAUGCUCUAUAGCAUGUUUAGAAGCGUCCCUGGCUCCCUGCCACUAGACGCCAGUAGUAAUCUGCCUAGUUGUGACAACCUAAAAUAUAUCUGGGUAUUGGCAAAUAUCCACUGAAGGGGAAAGUUGUCCCCAGGUGAGAAUCACUGUUCUAAUAGCCCAAGGUGGGAGGAGAAAAUGGCAGCCACAAGGCCCAAAUAACACCUCACUUAAAUUCAAGUCUAAGGAGUGAGCCCAGAGAUGGAGUUGGGUGUGGCAUCAGUAGGGAAGCAUGGACCGAGCCAGGAACCUGGCAAGCAGAUCCAUGACCUCAGACAUUAACAAACUGAGAUGUCCAAAGUACCUCCUUGCGGCGAGCUAUCAAGAAUGGCUGGGUUGGCAUACAUCUGAGCAGGCACCGGUGAUCCUUAGCUCAGAUCCUUUCUUUUCAUUAACUCAAGAACCGUGUGUCAAAGCCCUGCUGACUUCCAAGCACUGAGCUGGCCCUGGGAAGCCAAGAUGGAUGAGCAGCGCAGCCAUGCCUGUCAGAGCGUGCAUUCUAUCAAGAGAGACACGAAUGCUAAUAACGGCCUUGGUCGUGACAACCUUACCCAGAUGUCAGCUGGAGACCUCCUGACCCUUUAGGAUCUGAAGAAAAUUCCUCGGCCCUGUCAGAUUUUUGCUGAUGCCUGGUAGGCUCAUCUUCUCCGGUACCCACCGUCUUUGUUUGGGGCACUGGCUACCCCGUGGCCAUCAUCCCACAACACAUGAACCCCAGCACCAGGUUCAGCCUUUUCUCCUGCUGCCACCGCAAUCAACAAUCUCUCCCACCAAGGCUGGUGUGUUUUGUACACUCACCGACCUCCCAGCCAGGUCCCAGGUAAGGGCUCUCGUCUCCUGACGCCGUCUUCCUCCAUCUUGUUGGCCUUCCCUACUCUCCCAUCCCCCUCCCAGUUCGCCAAAAUCUCCAAUUUCACCUCAUCUUCUUAUGCAGAGGUUCCCUGCCACCCUGAGGCCUUGGCACCAGCUGACCCCAGGCCGUUAGGAGGUUCUCCUUCUAUCUCAACCACCUACCAAAGUUCUUUCCCCGCAAAGACUUCCCUCCCUAAGGAGACCUAUGGAGGCAGCUUUUAUAAGGUGAUAAAAUCAGUCCGUAGCAGUGUAGUAACACUUGGUGUUAUAAUAAUAUUUUUGUCCUCUCUCUAAUGUUAGGCAAUGAGCCAAGGGCUUGAUGUCCAUUAUCUCAUUUUAAUAAUAGAAUCAGAUCAUUACGGUACUGUGCGAUAAACACCCAGCAUAGCAAUUCAGACCAUACUCUUCAGAGUUCAAAUCUCAGCUCUGUCUCUUAAUAGCUGUGUGAGCUUGGGCUUCUCGCUUCACUGCUCUGUGCCUCCAUUUUCUCCAUUUGUAAAAUCGGUUAGUAGGACUAUCUUCCACUUAGGGUUGUUGUAAGGAUUGAGAAAGUAAAUAAAGGUGUAAAGUGCUUAGAACAGUGUCUGGCGCUUAGUACACAUUCAGUAAAUGUUGGCUGUUAUUGUGAUCACUGAAGAAUUAACAGAGGGGUUUGAGACUGAGGUUGUCUUACGAUAGGGACAGAUCAUAGGGCAGGAGAUUUAGGGGAAGAGUUCUAAAUGAUGCGUAGGAGUUUGCCCCCAGGAACAUCGGACGCUCUGAAUUUUAUGAAAUCAAGCCCUUCUGAUCAUGCCUUCUCAACCUUGUCAGCUUUCCCUCGUGGCUUUCCUCAUCCAUUUCUCCUUCCCACAAGGCUCAGUGAGACACUUGGGAAAAUAUUUUCCAAAAUAAAUUUCAAGUCAUUAUUUGACCCAAACCACCCAUUUCUGUGGCCCAGCCCUGUCUACUAAUGUUACCGCCCUAUCCCUAUUUAGACUGAGGUUUUAUAACUGACCAGCCCUUCACCAGGGCUUCCCUGACUUGCCACCUCCUGCCUGAGUCAUCCCGUGAUGUCACAAUCCCAGAUUUAUGAUGUUGGCCAGUGUGGUCUCAGGGAUGACUAUAGACGGGACCGGCCUCAAGCCCAGCUGUGAAACCAGUCACAUUGUGUUCCACCUCCCACCACCCCAUUCUUCCAUGAUGUAGUGGAAAGAGCAUGUUCCGGGCAUCAGACAGAAGGGGGUUGCCGCCACGCUCUACUCUUUCCUUUCUGGGUGAUUUUGGACCAGGAGGGCUUCUCUAACUCUCAGUUUCUUCACUGGUGAAUGGAGGCCUAAAUGACAACGCCUGUGCCGGGUUUCGAGAUAUCCAAGGAAAAGAAAAAUGAAACAAAACAAAGACCCCAAGCCAACUUUUCUGUUCAGUUCCAACUGUAUUGAAUGUUCAGCCACGGUUCUCCCCAAGACGGAGUUCAGCAUCACCCAACCCCAGUGCAGAUGAAGGGAGGGUUCUCAGCGGGCUUCCUCAGAAUGGAAAAUGGUUCAUUUCAGUUGGGAAGAUAUUCAGAAAUUCCAGAGUCCUUCUCUAUCAAUAAUUUGAGGGGAAAAAAAUAUAUAUGCCCCGAUUUGGGUGGAGAAAAUGAAGUCGGUGGGUUGACGCAGCAUCAGCUAUGAAUAAAUGUCUCCCUCUAUCACAGUC